Molecule: non-coding RNA, 167 nt
Filed under: unclassified sequences
Description: RT-16 RNA
Rfam family: RT-16 RNA
About the family: candidate division DUSEL4 (Archaea).
Source: Rfam by way of RNAcentral
UCCUGGAGAGUUUUAUGUUUCCCUGAGCAAGAAACGUGAAAUAGGACUACACGCCAAUUUACUAGCACAUCAUUUAGAUUUAUUUUAAGUCAUAAAAUUCAGCUUUGACAAAAUUGGAAAAGCGGUGAAAGAAAAUUAAAUUUUCAAAAGUAAAUUGGCUAUCUUAG